RNAcentral lists this ribosomal RNA (466 nucleotides) under uncultured bacterium. RNAcentral's name for it is "partial 16S ribosomal RNA". It matches the Rfam family "Bacterial small subunit ribosomal RNA", at positions 28 to 507 of the family's 1533-position model. The record is from RNAcentral.
GAUGAACGCUGGCGGCGUGCUUAACACAUGCAAGUCGAACGAUGAAGCCCAGCUUGCUGGGUGGAUUAGUGGCGAACGGGUGAGUAACACGUGAGUAACCUGCCCUUAACUCUGGGAUAAGCCUGGGAAACUGGGUCUAAUACCGGAUAGGAGCGCCUACCGCAUGGUGGGUGUUGGAAAGAUUUAUCGGUUUUGGAUGGACUCGCGGCCUAUCAGCUUGUUGGUGAGGUAAUGGCUCACCAAGGCGACGAUGGGUAGCCGGCCUGAGAGGGUGACCGGCCACACUGGGACUGAGACACGGCCCAGACUCCUACGGGAGGCAGCAGUGGGGAAUAUUGCACAAUGGGCGAAAGCCUGAUGCAGCGACGCCGCGUGAGGGAUGACGGCCUUCGGGUUGUAAACCUCUUUCAGUAGGGAAGAAGCGAAAGUGACGGUACCUGCAGAAGAAGCACCGGCUAACUACGUG